This 253-nucleotide ribosomal RNA is filed under the name uncultured bacterium. Its description in RNAcentral is "partial 16S ribosomal RNA". It matches the Rfam family "Bacterial small subunit ribosomal RNA", at positions 524 to 776 of the family's 1533-position model. The record is from RNAcentral.
UACGUAGGGAGCAAGCGUUGUCCGGAAUCAUUGGGCGUAAAGCGCGCGUAGGUGGCCUCAUAAGCCCGCUGUGAAAGUCAAAGGCUCAACCUUUGAAAGCCGGUGGAUACUGUGAGGCUAGAGUACGGAAGAGGCGAGUGGAAUUCCUGGUGUAGCGGUGGAAUGCGCAGAUAUCAGGAGGAACACCAAUAGCGAAGGCAGCUCGCUGGGACGUUACUGACACUGAGGCGCGAAAGCGUGGGGAGCGAACAGG